AGGUUAAGUUAACAAGGGCGCAUGGUGAAUGCCUUGGCACUAGGAGCCGAUGAAGGACGGGACUAACACCGAUAUGCUUCGGGGAGCUGUACGUAAGCUAUGAUCCGGAGAUUUCCGAAUGGGGCAACCCAGCAGUUUUAAUCAACUGUUACCACUAGAUGAAUUCAUAGUCUAGUUGGAGGUAAACGCUGUGAACUGAAACAUCUCAUUAGCAGCAGGAAUAUAAAGAAAUUUCGAUUCCCUAAGUAGCGGCGAGCGAACGGGGAACAGCCCAAACCAAAGUGCUUGCACUUUGGGGUUGUAGGACUGAACAUUUGAGUUACCAAAGAACUUGAUAGUCGAAGGAUUUGGGAAAAUCCGCCAUAGAUGGUGAUAGCCCAGUAGAUUAAAUCAAAUUCUCUCAGUUCAGGAUCCUGAGUACGGCGGAACACGUGAAAUUCCGUCGGAAUCCGGGAGGACCAUCUCCCAAGGCUAAAUACUACCUAGUGACCGAUAGUGAACCAGUACCGUGAGGGAAAGGUGAAAAGCACCCCGGGAGGGGAGUGAAAUAGUUCCUGAAACCAUGUGCCUACAAUAAGUCAGAGCGCGUUAAUGCGUGAUGGCGUGCCUUUUGUAGAAUGAACCGGCGAGUUAUGAUCCCGUGCAAGGUUAAGACUAAAAAGUCGGAGCCGUAGCGAAAGCGAGUCUGAAGUGGGCGUUUUGAGUACGAGGUUAUAGACCCGAAACCAGGUGACCUAUCCAUGUCCAGGUUGAAGGUGCGGUAAAACGCACUGGAGGACCGAACCCGUGUAAGUUGAAAAUUGCUGGGAUGAGGUGUGGAUAGCGGUGAAAUUCCAAACGAACUUGGAGAUAGCUGGUUCUCUCCGAAAUAGCUUUAGGGCUAGCCUCGGAAUUAGGAUCAUGGAGGUAGAGCACUAUUUGGACUAGGGGCCCGUCUUGGGUUACUGAAUUCAGAUAAACUCCGAAUGCCAUUGAUUCAUAUCCGGGAGUCAGACGAUGAGUGAUAAGAUCCACCGUCGAAAGGGGAACAGCCCAGACCAUCAGUUAAGGUCCCUAAAUGUAUGCUAAGUGGAAAAGGAUGUGGAGUUGCAUAGACAACUAGGAUGUUGGCUCAGAAGCAGCCACCAUUUAAAGAGUGCGUAAUAGCUCACUAGUCGAGUGAUCCUGCGCCGAAAAUGUACCGGGGCUAAGCAUACUACCGAAACCAUGGAUGCGACCAAUAGGUCGCGUGAUAGGAGAGCGUUCUAAGGGCGGUGAAGCAAGAUCGUGAGGACUUGUGGAGCGCUUAGAAGUGAGAAUGCCGGUAUGAGUAGCGAAAGAUAGGUGAGAAUCCUAUCCACCGAAUGACUAAGGUUUCCUGGGGAAGGCUCGUCCUCCCAGGGUUAGUCGGGACCUAAGUCGAGGCCGAGAGGCGUAGACGAUGGAUAACAGGUUGAGAUUCCUGUACUAGUUAAGUGCGUUUGAGCAAUGGAGGGACGCAGGAGGCUAAGAUGUGCAUUCUGUUGGAUUAGAAUGUCCAAGCAGUAAGUCUUGUGAAGAGUCAAAUGCUUUUCACUUUAAGGACAAGCUGUGAUGGGGAGCGAAAUUUAGUAGCGAAGCGUCUGAUGUCACACUGCCGAGAAAAGCUUCUAGUGAGUACUUAACUACCCGUACCGCAAACCGACACAGGUAGUCGAGGAGAGAAUCCUAAGGUGAGCGAGUGAACUCUCGUUAAGGAACUCGGCAAAAUGACCCCGUAACUUCGGGAGAAGGGGUGCUGAUCGCAAGAUCAGCCGCAGUGAAUAGGCCCAGGCGACUGUUUAUCAAAAACACAGGUCUCUGCAAAAUCGUAAGAUGACGUAUAGGGGCUGACGCCUGCCCGGUGCUGGAAGGUUAAAAGGAUGGGUUAGCUUCGGCGAAGCUCAGAAUUGAAGCCCCAGUAAACGGCGGCCGUAACUAUAACGGUCCUAAGGUAGCGAAAUUCCUUGUCGGGUAAGUUCCGACCCGCACGAAAGGCGUAACGAUCUGGGCGCUGUCUCAACGAGAGACUCGGUGAAAUUAUAUUGUCCGUGAAGAUGCGGACUACCCGCGACAGGACGGAAAGACCCCAUGGAGCUUUACUGUAGCUUGAUAUUGAGUGUUUGUACAGCUUGUACAGGAUAGGUAGGAGCCAUAGAAACCGGAACGCUAGUUUCGGUGGAGGCGUUGGUGGGAUACUACCCUCGCUGUAUGACCACUCUAACCCGCACCACUAAUCGUGGUGGGAGACAGUGUCAGGUGGGCAGUUUGACUGGGGCGGUCGCCUCCUAAAAAGUAACGGAGGCGCCCAAAGGUUCCCUCAGAAUGGUUGGAAAUCAUUCGCAGAGUGUAAAGGCACAAGGGAGCUUGACUGCGAGACAGACAGGUCGAGCAGGGACGAAAGUCGGGCUUAGUGAUCCGGUGGUACCGUAUGGAAGGGCCAUCGCUCAACGGAUAAAAGCUACCCUGGGGAUAACAGGCUUAUCUCCCCCAAGAGUCCACAUCGACGGGGAGGUUUGGCACCUCGAUGUCGGCUCAUCGCAUCCUGGGGCUGUAGUCGGUCCCAAGGGUUGGGCUGUUCGCCCAUUAAAGCGGUACGCGAGCUGGGUUCAGAACGUCGUGAGACAGUUCGGUCCCUAUCCGUCGCGGGCGUAGGAAAUUUGAGAGGACCUGUCCUUAGUACGAGAGGACCGGGAUGGACAUACCUCUGGUGUACCAGUUGUGCCGCCAGGCGCAUCGCUGGGUAGCUACGUAUGGAUGUGAUAAACGCUGAAAGCAUCUAAGUGUGAAACACACCUCGAGAUGAGAUUUCCCAUUCCUUUAUGGAAGUAAGACCCCUGAAAGAUGAUCAGGUAGAUAGGUUAGAAGUGGCAGUGCGGUGACGCAUGAAGCGGACUAAUACUAAUCGGUCGAGGACUUAACCAAG
RNAcentral lists this ribosomal RNA (2923 nucleotides) under Lactiplantibacillus plantarum. Its description in RNAcentral is "Lactobacillus plantarum 23S ribosomal RNA". It matches the Rfam family "Bacterial large subunit ribosomal RNA". Lineage: Bacteria; Bacillati; Bacillota; Bacilli; Lactobacillales; Lactobacillaceae. The record is from RNAcentral.